GCAAAUAGUUUUGACAAGUUUAAACCUGACUUUCUCAAACUAGUCUCACACUUGUUUGCAGGCAGCUCCAAAGUUUGGCUUCGUCACCUCAUGUGGUCCCUCGCGAGAUGAUGCAACAUUCAGGCUAAGCUAAAUGGGUGGGACGAGUGUGCGGGUACCGGCGCAAACAUUGCAAGCCUGUCUCCAACUUGUCAGGCUUCAGCACCUUCCGAUGUGGUCGUCGACAAUGCGACAUGCGAUUAAAUAUUAUUGGAAUUUGCUGAUGACGGUCACCAUAACCAGCUUGAGUGCGUCGACCAAUGUGCCGUGAUCUCCCUGGAGAAGGCAAAAACCUGCAGAAAAACAAGGAGACGUUUGAGGGCCAAACUGAACACUCCAAGAUGGACCAGUCAACUGCUAAUUUGGGUUUAUUUUCAAGUCAACAGAAUUGAGGACCACCUGCAGUGAUGUAGAACAGUCUUUGUCCAGCAGGUGCAGGAUCCAGAGGAAGAAAAUGAAAAGAAAUGUUUAAAUUUGCAUUUUUCUCUCCUCCAGAGUGUGUGUUCCCCCCGUCUCCAGAACCAGCAUGACCUUGUGACGUUUCUGAAGAAGCCAAAAAGAAAAUCUUGCACUCAAACCCAGCGAGGUCCAGUUCCUUCCCGCAGCAUCUCGGUCCUCAGGCGGCGCCGCAUAAAGUCGAGGUCGUCGUAACUGCACACAAAAGCGGGACGUCGAGAACUUUUCGCAUCCUCACCGCUGGACGUCAAUGCGGUUUCGGGUGUUCCCACAGGAACGUGAAAGUGACGCAAGCCGGGCUGACCCGGACCAGAAAAAGAAAGAAAAACAUCAUGAGCAACGGGGAUACUCGCUCGAUUGGCUGGCGGGGUGGUCUAUGACUUUGUCUGUGGUCUGGAGCAGUCUGGGUUCGAAACCCCGGUUGUCUCAAUUGGCGCAAUUUCAAGAAACAGGCCCUCGAGAAGGAAUCGAACCCGGGUCACCCGUGGCAAAGGUGGGAGUCGAACCCAGAGCCACCUCCUGCGCGGCAGCUCCGUAGUCCACUUCACACGAAGUCGACGUAGAACCUCCAAACAGCUCUUGGAGUCAACCCCUGGCUGCAGUCGCUACUUUUGUCCACGGGGUGGCAGUAUGUCACCGUGUGUCGCACUUUCAUCCGUUUGGCCUCAACUUUCACGACUUGCUUUCCACACUCCAGCAUUUAUUUCUGCUGCGCAAUUUAUCAUUGCUUAAAACAACAACACGUGGGCUUUGUUUACACAGCGAAUGACAAUCGCCUUGAAAAAUUGCCAUGACCAAUAAAGCAACUCAAACAAGCAGUUCUGACAUUCAUUCAUUUUUUUUUUUAAGACUUAAUUUUUUUUUUAUUUUCUCACGAGUAUUGGCAAGAAUAUUUUUAUCGUCACAUUGAAGUAUCCAUAGUUUCAAUCAAUUUUCAAAAUAAAGAAUUUUCUUGCUUUAUUUUCACAUUACUCAUGGA
Molecule: long non-coding RNA, 1474 nt
Organism: Syngnathoides biaculeatus (alligator pipefish)
Lineage: Eukaryota; Metazoa; Chordata; Actinopteri; Syngnathiformes; Syngnathidae
Exons: 6
Source: RefSeq, a predicted model, not a curated record